AUUGAACGCUGGCGGCAUGCCUUACACAUGCAAGUCGAACGGCAGCACGGGAGCAAUCCUGGUGGCGAGUGGCGAACGGGUGAGUAAAGUAUGGGAACGUGCCCAGUCGUGGGGGAUAACGUAGCGAAAGUUACGCUAAUACCGCAUACGAUCUAUGGAUGAAAGCGGGGGAUCGCAAGACCUCGCGCGAUUGGAGCGGCCGAUAUCAGAUUAGGUAGUUGGUGGGGUAAAGGCUCACCAAGCCGACGAUCUGUAGCUGGUCUGAGAGGACGACCAGCCACACUGGGACUGAGACACGGCCUAGACUCCUACGGGAGGCAGCAGUGGGGAAUUUUGGACAAUGGGCGAAAGCCUGAUCCAGCCAUGCCGCGUGCAGGAUGAAGGCCUUCGGGUUGUAAACUGCUUUUGUACGGAACGAAAAGGUUUGGCCUAAUAAGCUGAGCUCAUGACGGUACCGUAAGAAUAAGCACCGGCUAACUACGUGCCAGCCGCCGCAGUAA
RNAcentral lists this ribosomal RNA (500 nucleotides) under uncultured bacterium. RNAcentral describes it as "partial 16S ribosomal RNA". It matches the Rfam family "Bacterial small subunit ribosomal RNA", at positions 30 to 523 of the family's 1533-position model. The record is from RNAcentral.